UCCCUGGUGGUCUAGUAGUUAAGGGUCUGGCACUGUCACUGCCGUGACACAGGUUUGAUCCUUGGCCUGGGAA
RNAcentral lists this transfer RNA (73 nucleotides) under Sus scrofa (pig). It matches the Rfam family "tRNA". Rfam says of the family: Transfer RNA (tRNA) molecules are approximately 80 nucleotides in length. Their secondary structure includes four short double-helical elements and three loops (D, anti-codon, and T loops). Further hydrogen bonds mediate the characteristic L-shaped molecular structure. tRNAs have two regions of fundamental functional importance: the anti-codon, which is responsible for specific mRNA codon recognition, and the 3' end, to which the tRNAs corresponding amino acid is attached (by aminoacyl-tRNA synthetases). tRNAs cope with the degeneracy of the genetic code in two manners: having more than one tRNA (with a specific anti-codon) for a particular amino acid; and 'wobble' base-pairing, i.e. permitting non-standard base-pairing at the 3rd anti-codon position. Lineage: Eukaryota; Metazoa; Chordata; Mammalia; Artiodactyla; Suidae. The record is from Rfam by way of RNAcentral.